Molecule: unclassified non-coding RNA, 405 nt
Filed under: Hevea brasiliensis (rubber tree)
Lineage: Eukaryota; Viridiplantae; Streptophyta; Magnoliopsida; Malpighiales; Euphorbiaceae
Source: RNAcentral
UAUUGAUAUUAGGCAUAAGCCAAUUCCAUUUCGGUUUCAGGGGUAAAAAAGGGAGGAAUUUGUUCUCACAUGUAUUUACGAGAUCAAUAACUUUGGUACAACCUCCAAAAUGGAUCAAUCCUAGCCGUUGAUUAGAUUCUAAUCAAAUCCCCACCCUUAAAACAAACACACUUUUUCACCGAAAUUGAAAAAAGAAAAGAAAGGAGAAUCAAACGAUCACCAAUUACUUAUCAACAUCUAUGCUGCUGUUCCAUCAUAAUACAGAAGUCCUCGAAGCAUACAAACCCAUCACCAUUUUUAUCCACACCUCUUAUCAUACGCCGGCACUCCUCUAACGUGCACCGUGAAUCUCCGAUCUGCCUAAACACGCUAAACAGCUCAUCCGCCGUGAUCUUCCCGUCGUGA